CCUGCCUUCAAGAGGGGGAUAACAUUCUGAAAAGAAUGCUAAUACCGCAUGACAUAUCGGAACCACAUGGUUCUGAUAUCAAAGAUUUUAUCGCUUGAAGAUGGACUCGCGUCCGAUUAGUUAGUUGGUGAGGUAACGGCUCACCAAGACCGCGAUCGGUAGCCGGACUGAGAGGUUGAACGGCCACAUUGGGACUGAGACACGGCCCAGACUCCUACGGGAGGCAGCAGUGGGGGAUAUUGCGCAAUGGGGGCAACCCUGACGCAGCAACGCCGCGUGAAGGAUGAAGGUUUUCGGAUUGUAAACUUCUUUUAUUAAGGACGAAAAAUGACGGUACUUAAUGAAUAAGCUCCGGCUAACUACGUGCCAGCAGCCGCGGUAAUACGUAGGGAGCAAGCGUUGUCCGGAUUUACUGGGUGUAAAGGGUGCGUAGGCGGCUUUGCAAGUCAGAUGUGAAAUCUAUGGGCUCAACCCAUAAACUGCAUUUGAAACUGUAGAGCUUGAGUGAAGUAGAGGCAGGCGGAGUUCCCCGUGUAGCGGUGAAAUGCGUAGAGAUGGGGAGGAACACCAGUGGCGAAGGCGGCCUGCUGGGCUUUAACUGACGCUGAGGCACGAAAGCGUGGGUAGCAAACAGGAUUAGAUACCCUGGUAGUCCACGCUGUAAACGAUGAUUACUAGGUGUGGGGGGUCUGACCCCUUCCGUGCCGGAG
This 710-nucleotide ribosomal RNA is filed under the name uncultured bacterium. RNAcentral describes it as "bacterial SSU rRNA". It matches the Rfam family "Bacterial small subunit ribosomal RNA", at positions 125 to 851 of the family's 1533-position model. The record is from RNAcentral.